CCUACGGGUGGCAGCAGUGAGGAAUAUUGGUCAAUGGACGGAAGUCUGAACCAGCCAUGCCGCGUGCAGGAAGACGGCCCUAUGAGCUGUAAACUGCUUUUGUACAAGGGUAAACCUGCAUACGUGUAUUCCGCUGAAAGUACUGUACGAAUAAGGAUCGGCUAACUCCGUUCCAGCAGCCGCGGUAAUACGGAGGAUCCAAGCGUUAUCCGGAUUUAGUUGGCUUAACGGGUGCGUCGGCGGAUUGAUAAGUUAAGGGUGAAAUGUCCGAGCUUAACUCGGGAACUGCCUCUAAUACUGGUGAACUAGAGAGUAGAUGCGGUAGGCGGAAUGUAAGGUGUAGGAGUGAAAUGCUUAGAGAUCAUACAGAACACCGAGUGCGAAGGCAGCUUACCAAUCUAUAUCUGACGUUGAGGCACGAAAGCGUGGGGAGCAAACAGGAUUAGAUACCCCAGUAGUC
This 460-nucleotide ribosomal RNA is filed under the name uncultured bacterium. RNAcentral's name for it is "partial 16S ribosomal RNA". It matches the Rfam family "Bacterial small subunit ribosomal RNA", at positions 338 to 795 of the family's 1533-position model. The record is from RNAcentral.